UAAUGUAGGGGGUUCGUUUACAAAAGCUAUAGUUAUUUACAUUGUAGAAAAUUUGAGAAAUAAAAACUUAAAAGAAGUAAAACUCACCCUCAAGUCACUUUACCAUACCUAAUAAUACCUACAAAAUAUAUUUUCACUGACUAGAGGUGUCCAGUAGAAUUUACUGUGAGGUAUUCUGUGUCUGCACUGUCUAGCAUGGUAUAGCCAUAGGCAGCUAUUGAGCUCUUGAAAUGUAACUAGUGAGACUGAAGGACUCAAUUUUUUAUUGUAUCGAAAUAGCCACAAAUGGAGUUCCUGCCUUGGCACACUGGAUUAAGGAUCUGGUGCUGUCUCUGUGUUGGCGCGAGUGAAGCCAUAAAAGAAAAAAUAUGAAUAGCCACACGUGACUAAUGGCUAUCCUGUUGGACUGUGCAGUUCUAAGCCUUUUUCUUAAAUUACUAGAUAGAUGAAUAUGGUGGUGGUUUUUGUAAUAUAUAAAACAGUAUAUUGUACAUACUGCUUUGCAGCAGACUUUUAAUUUAUAGUAACACUUGCUCAUGUCAUUUGAUAAACUGAUUACAUACGGUGCUUUGAUGAACAUCUUUUAAGUCAUCUGGACAGUCUUAAUUAUUUCUUUGGAUAAACUGUAAGAAGUAGAACUGCUGGGCAGGGGAUAGAGCUAGAUAAAUGGAAGAAUAACGAUAUGCAAUAAAUACACACAUAUCCUUCACCUAGAGUAUUCUGUUGUUAACGUUUUCUUUAAGUUUCUAAUCUAUUUGUAGAUUUUGCUGAACAAUUUAGAAGUUGACCUGUAGACAUCAUGACAUUUGACCCCACGUAUUUUAACAUAUGUCUCCUAAAAACAAGGGUAUUCUAUGUAACCGUAAUAAAACUGUCACACUAAAGAAACUUAACAUUACCACACUACAUAUUCACAUUUUCUCCACUUACCCCACAGUAUCCUUUAUAACUUCAUUUUAGCCUCUGUCCAGGAGCCAGUCAAAUAUCGUAUGUUGCAUUUACUGGUCAUGUCUUGUUACUUUUCUGUUUGCCUUAAUCUAGAAGAAUCCCCUAGACUUUCCUACCUUUGUCUUUUUUGGCAUUGGCGUUUUCAUUGCAUGCAGUUUCAGUCCACUUUGAGUAGUGACUUACUAUUUUGGUAAGUGCUAUUUAAACUGUUUAUCCCUUUAUUAAGUUAAAUACCUUUUUGUUUUUAAGGUGGGUCAUGAUAACUGGGUACGUGGAGUUCUGUUCCAUUCUGGGGGGAAGUUUAUUUUGAGUUGCGCUGAUGACAAGACCCUGCGUGUGUGGGAUUACAAGAACAAGCGAUGCAUGAAGACCCUCAAUGCGCAUGAACACUUUGUUACCUCCUUGGAUUUCCAUAAGACGGCACCAUAUGUGGUUACUGGCAGUGUAGAUCAAACAGUAAAGGUGUGGGAGUGCCGUUGAUUGAGUCUCAUUUGGCCCCUCCUCCCUUUUUUCCUCUGGAUGCACUCUGAUGAUACCAUGGUUACCCCAUUGAGCUCUGUUUAAAUAAAUAUUGUCCUUUCAUGUAAAUUAUUCUGGAUGUAGAUUGAGCUUAUUAAAUGUUACACACAAAGUAUUCAUGCAUGGUGAAUCCAAAUUGUAUACUGUAAAUUUACAUACGUUGUCUAGAAGUACCUUAGGGUUUAAAAACCUGGGCUGGCAUUGGUCACACCAGGCCUAAGAAGGCAGAAGUUGAAAUAAAUUGAAAUAGGGCACUAAACUGAAUAGUUGACAGUGUCAUUUUAUGUUGGAUUAUUAAUUCCUGUUUUCUUUCUGCUAUCUGUUGGUGCCUGACUUGAUGGCCUCAUUUGGGGGAAAGUGGUGGUUAUUAGGGCUUUUUCUGAAAUGUGUAUCUAUGUAACAUCACUUAAGUGUGCUUAAUAAAUCUUCUUUAAGGAUGUUAGAUAAUAAGACUACAAUUCAAAAUCUUCUGAACCAUCUAUGUAAUUAAUGGGGAUUACACAUUGGAAUUUUUGUCAUGACACAUUUGCCAAAUCAAUAGGAUACAUUUGUUUUGGCAGCCUAUCAAGCAAAGGCUAGUGGUAUAUUUAUGUAAGAAAAUGACUGUAAAUCUGAAAUAAGAAAAAUCUCAGCAGCUAAUAGCAAAUCAUUUAGUUCAUUUGGGUCUUAAUGCUUUGUAAACAGGUUUUAAAAACACUGUAAUACUCUAAGCUUCUAUUUUCCACACUAGACACACUUCUAGUUGUAUUCUCCAUACUAUUAGACUGUAUAGUGAUGUGACUUCCAAGUAGAGUUUAAUCUUCCCAUCGAGUGUGUCAUGGUACAAAUCACUAUUGUUUUUGAUGUUUUUUAGGGAUGUGCAAUGUGCAUAACAUAAUGACAAAGAAAUAUUGAAAAGGUUAUGUUUGCCCAUUUUAAGGGAGUGGGAGAAAUACAGCGGUUUGUUUUUCAACAUGAAUCUGAUAUCGAUUUAAACUGUGUUUAACUUACAGGUUUAUAAAAAGACAGGGUUUAAUGGAGCGUGCAUAAAAAUGUACUGUGUUUUCACCUUUUGUUUAUAUAUAAAUGUUUAUGAGUAUAUGGGCCUAUCUAGAAGUGGAUAAGUCUGUAUAUGUAUAUCACACACAUACAACCUCCAUGUCCUUGGGUCCUGGGUUUUUGAAGAAGUGCUAAAACAUAUAAAUAGAAUAAAUCUUGCUGUGGAAUACCAUGCUUUAGAACAAAUCCUUUUUGAUCCUGACGCUUCUGAAAACUAGGUCUGACUCUGUGGGAAUUUUUCCCAGCUAAAGAAAAAUCACUUCCGUUAUCCUCCAUCUGCACCCCCAGUUUGGCUGUUGAGCAUUUCACACAUCCCUGAUAUCCUGUACAUUGUGAUCCAAAGUUACUACAAGUAGGUUUAAGAGAAUUUUUAUCUAUGACUUUGGAAACAAUAUUCCAUUGCAGAUUAUUAAUAAAUAAUUUCAUUGCUUAGCUAACCAACCUUUUUUUUUUAAGGAAGACAUUUGAAAAGUUAACAGAACAAUGAAAUAACAAAGAUAGUUUAACAGAGAAACUUAUUCUGGAUUGCAUUUGUUCAUUUGUGUAAUAUGUGAAUUUUUUUUAAUGUCCCUUUUAGUAUUCAAUGGAGAUUUGGAUCCUGAAAAAGACAAAGGGUUAGAGUUAAUGUCCUGUAGAUAACACACACAGAGACAGGCCAUAUAUUUACUAGAAGCAGCUUUAUGUCUAGUUUGUGUCUUUCGUUUUAAUAAUUCCUGAGAGAUGUCUCUGGAAGGAAAAGUGUUUUGAAAACUAAUGGCUAUUUUUAAGGACAAAAAUUACAACGUAAGCUAAUUUCUUAAAUACAGUAGAAUAACUUUCAGGACAAUGUUGCCUCACAACCCUGCUCACAUCGAGAAGUCUUUUUGUUUCCCCUUAGCUGUUCUGACUGGAUUUUUCUACAAAAGCUAUGGAAGAUAUCUUUGUUCUUGUUUGCUGCUAUUUCCUGUCCUAUUUUAAAAAAUACAAAUACAUAGAAAUGGUGCAUCUUAACAUUUGUUUGUACAUGUAUAAAUGUCUUGUAUUUUAAUUCAUUUUUAGCAUGUAGCAACACGAAUUGUUUAAGGGUAAGCCACAACAUCUAGAAAUCACUCCCAGAUACGAACAAUAAAGGAAAAAAUGGUACCGAUGUAGGAGGAAACAAAGCCUCUGUCCACUGGGUUUUCCCUGCAGCCUACAGUGACUUUCACUGACAAACAAGGAGAAACUAUCACUAUAAACAAAGUCAUCCUUGUUGGGAGAUUGCCACAGCCUGCUGCUUAGUCGAGUUACCAGACAUCCUCCAUUUGCGAAGCAGCGAACGUUGAAUCUCAGGGAUGGUCCUCAACUGGAUCCAAGUGUAACGAGCCCUGUUUGAAUAAUGAAGGGGGUGGGGAGAGCGAUCCAUCCACAAUCCGGAAGCAGAUUUGCAGAGGUUUCCUGCACUGUUGUUUUGACACUGCCCUGUUGAUGCCCUUUCUUCCUGUUUCCUCGGUUUUCUCUGUCUGCUGUCUAACCCUGUGCCUUGCCUGGGAUAAGUACAAUGUUGAGGUAACUGGUUUGGAUUGUAAGUAGAGGAAUUUAUUAAUUGGUUUAGAGGUUCACUGCUGCUUUGUCACUUUCUCAAUCAAACUGGCCACUUAUUUAAGAAAUAAAAAGCUGGUAGAAUUGCAUCCUCAGAUGAUGAUUGACCUUCUGUGUGUGUGAAAACAGACAUUCCAGUGCCACCCUGAUACAACGUGCCCAAGAAGUCCUAGCUGCACUCUUGAAAGUGCGAGCCAUGGAAACCGGCUUAGACAUGGCUUGGAGAAUAGUUGCUUUUUGACAUGGCAUCUUGCACUUUAGGAGACUGAGACCGUCCUGUUUUGUCCAUGUGUGGUGUGACCAAUGGUGUGCCCAGAGCACUGCUCUCAAACUCACUAGUGUUAGCACGUCGUCCGGGCUGUGGGCGCUCGCUGUAGUCUUCGGAAAGCUUUGGCUCUAGAUCACCAAGCCCAGUCUCCUUAAUGUCAGUGCCCUGCUCUCCUGUUUGCCUCUUUCUGUUUCUAUGUGAACUUCCAGGUAAUAUCACUCAUUUUAAAUAGUUUUUUUUUUUUAAUUUAUUUAAAGAAAAACUAUUUAGAAGUAAAGGACGUUUUAUUUUGUUGACAGUGGUGGCUUGAUAAUCCUUAAGCAACUGAAGCUAAAAUUGUUAAAUUGAAGGAAAAGGCCCUUAAAAUGGUUAUUCUCUGUCCAGCUGUAUAUAAGUCCGAUGUGUUACUAAUCUAGAUGAUGCAAAGAAGAAUCUCCUGGUAGAGACUCGACAUGUACAAAAUUGGUGGAAAAGGUUUUGGUUUUUUUCAGAGGGGCGGGGGGAGGGCAAGCUGGAUUUACAAGUCACGACUGGACCGAACUGGCCUUUUUAUCUUUCCACUGUAUCAUGUAAGUAGCUGCUUUCUUGUCCUGCCUACCCUUCAGGCAUCCCUCAAGCUCACUCUGAAGAUGGUAGAAACAAACAUAAUCUUCGAGUUCGAAGUUGAUCCUGACACUGACAUGAAGGCGAGCGUUGAUUUCAUAAUGAACGUCACAGAGGUGGUGAUUGGAGAAAACAGUUCCCCAGAUUGUAAGAGUUAACUGAAGAUAUUGACACAAUUUUAAAAAAUCAGUAAAGGAAUGUAUAUAAUAUUGCUCUUGUGUUUUACAGUAAGAUUUGUUGCUCUCAGACUGUGUAAAACAAGAUUUAUUCAUGUUUUCUGCAUAUUAAAAAAUCUUAUUGUACCAAUUGGUAAACUAUUAAAUGCCUAUAAAACU
Molecule: long non-coding RNA, 5271 nt
Filed under: Sus scrofa (pig)
Lineage: Eukaryota; Metazoa; Chordata; Mammalia; Artiodactyla; Suidae
Description: lncRNA (ENSSSCG00030013198.1)
Source: RNAcentral